This 433-nucleotide ribosomal RNA is filed under the name uncultured bacterium. Its description in RNAcentral is "partial 16S ribosomal RNA". It matches the Rfam family "Bacterial small subunit ribosomal RNA", at positions 28 to 507 of the family's 1533-position model. The record is from RNAcentral.
GACGAACGCUGGCGGCGUGCCUAACACAUGCAAGUCGAACGAAACGUCCGGGUCUAGUGGCGCACGGGGGCUUACGGCGGGGGAAGUUGCCCGUAGGUUCGGAAUACCUGACUGAAAGGGGAGCUAAGGAAGGAGAGUGUAAUCGGACCUAGGAUUUAUCGCCUUUGGGUGGGGGCGCGUUGGAUUAGCUAGUUGGUAGUGUAAAAGCCGAGCAAGGCGACGAUCCAUAGCUGGUCGGAGAGCAGGAUCCGCCACACUGGAGAUGAGACACGGCCCAGUCUCCUACGCGAGGCAGCAGAGGAGAAUACUGGACAAUGGGCGAAAGCCUGAUCAAGCAAUGCCGCGUGAGUGAUGAAGGCCUUUGGGUUGUAAAGCUCUUUUACCCGGGAUGAUAAUGACAGUACCGGGAGAAGAAGCUCCGGCUAACUCCGUG